AACGAACGCUGGCGGCAUGCCUAACACAUGCAAGUCGAACGAGACCUUCGGGUCUAGUGGCGCACGGGUGCGUAACGCGUGGGAACCUGCCCUUAGGUUCGGAAUAACUCCCCGAAAGGGGUGCUAAUACCGGAUAAUGUCUUCGGACCAAAGAUUUAUCGCCUUUGGAUGGGCCCCCGUUGGAUUAGCUAGUUGGUAGGGUAAAAGCCUACCAAGGCGACGAUCCAUAGCUGGUCUGAGAGGAUGAUCAGCAACACUGGGACUGAGACACGGACCAGACUCCUACGGGAGGCAGCAGUGGGGAAUAUUGGACAAUGGGCGAAAGCCUGAUCCAGCAAUGCCGCGUGAGUGAUGAAGGCCUUAGGGUUGUAAAGCUCUUUUACCCGGGAUGAUAAUGACAGUACCGGGAGAAUAAGCUCCGGCUAACUCCGUG
This 433-nucleotide ribosomal RNA is filed under the name uncultured bacterium. Its description in RNAcentral is "partial 16S ribosomal RNA". It matches the Rfam family "Bacterial small subunit ribosomal RNA", at positions 29 to 507 of the family's 1533-position model. The record is from RNAcentral.